GAUGAACGCUGGCGGCGUGCUUAACACAUGCAAGUCGAGCGAAAAGACGUGGUGCUUGUUCCUCUGACGUUAGUGGCGCAUGGGUGCGUAACAUGUGGAUAACCUCCAUAUCUGAAUGGGACAACUUCGGGCACCCGGAGUUAAUACCGGAAAAUAUAAUGAACCGCAUGGUUCAAUAGUGACUGAUGGUUUUGCUGUUAAUUCAAGAUCGUACCGCGCCGAUUUAGCUAGUUGGUAAGGUAACGGCUUUCCAAGGCAACGAUGCGUAGCCGACCUACGAGGGUGAUCGGCCACACUGGGACUGAAACACGGUCCAGACUCCUACGGGGAGCAGCAGUAGGGAAUCUUCCGCAGUAGGCGAAAGCUUGACGGAGCAACGCCGCGUAAGUUAUGAGAGUCUUCGGGUCGUAAAGCACUGUUAUUAGGGAAGAACAAAUGUGUAAGUAGCUAUACACGUCUUGACGGUACCUGAUCAGAAAGCCACGGCUAACUACGUG
RNAcentral lists this ribosomal RNA (497 nucleotides) under uncultured bacterium. RNAcentral's name for it is "partial 16S ribosomal RNA". It matches the Rfam family "Bacterial small subunit ribosomal RNA", at positions 28 to 507 of the family's 1533-position model. The record is from RNAcentral.